RNAcentral lists this ribosomal RNA (489 nucleotides) under uncultured soil bacterium. RNAcentral's name for it is "bacterial SSU rRNA". It matches the Rfam family "Bacterial small subunit ribosomal RNA", at positions 26 to 518 of the family's 1533-position model. The record is from RNAcentral.
AGAUUGAACGCUGGCGGCAUGCCUUACACAUGCAAGUCGAACGGUAGAGUAGCAAUACUUGAGAGUGGCGAACGGGUGAGUAAUAUAUCGGAACGUGCCCAGUCGUGGGGGAUAACGUAGAGAAAUUUACGCUAAUACCGCAUACGAUCUAAGGAUGAAAGCGGGGGACCGUAAGGCCUCGCGCGAUUGGAGCGGCCGAUAUCAGAUUAGGUAGUUGGUGGGGUAAAGGCUCACCAAGCCAACGAUCUGUAGCUGGUCUGAGAGGACGACCAGCCACACUGGGACUGAGACACGGCCCAGACUCCUACGGGAGGCAGCAGUGGGGAAUUUGGACAAUGGGCGCAAGCCUGAUCCAGCAAUGCCGCGUGCAGGAAGAAGGCCUUCGGGUGUAAACUGCUUUGUACGGAACGAACGGUCUGGUUAAUACCGUGGGCUAAGUGACGGUACCGUAAGAAUAAGACGACCGACUAACUACGUGCCAGCAGCCGC